CCUACGGGAGGCAGCAGUGGGGAAUAUUGGGCAAUGGGCGCAAGCCUGACCCAGCAACGCCGCGUGAAGGAAGAAGGCUUUCGGGUUGUAAACUUCUUUUCUGAGGGACGAAGAAAGUGACGGUACCUCAGGAAUAAGCCACGGCUAACUACGUGCCAGCAGCCGCGGUAAUACGUAGGUGGCAAGCGUUAUCCGGAAUGACUGGGCGUAAAGGGUGCGUAGGUGGUUUGGCAAGUUAGUAGCGUAACUCCAAGGCUCAACCUUGGAACUACUACUAAAACUGUUGGACUUGAGUGCAGGAGGGGCAACCGGAAUUCCUAGUGUAGCGGUGGAAUGCGUAGAUAUUAGGAGGAACACCAGUGGCGAAGGCGGGUUGCUAGACUGUAACUGACACUGAGGCACGAAAGCGUGGGGAGCAAACAGGAUUAGAUACCCGAGUAGUC
RNAcentral lists this ribosomal RNA (443 nucleotides) under uncultured bacterium. Its description in RNAcentral is "partial 16S ribosomal RNA". It matches the Rfam family "Bacterial small subunit ribosomal RNA", at positions 338 to 795 of the family's 1533-position model. The record is from RNAcentral.